RNAcentral lists this ribosomal RNA (352 nucleotides) under uncultured bacterium. Its description in RNAcentral is "bacterial SSU rRNA". It matches the Rfam family "Bacterial small subunit ribosomal RNA", at positions 527 to 881 of the family's 1533-position model. The record is from RNAcentral.
GGAGGAUCCGAGCGUUAUCCGGAUUUAUUGGGUUUAAAGGGAGCGUAGGCGGGUUGUUAAGUCAGUUGUGAAAGUUUGCGGCUCAACCGUAAAAUUGCAGUUGAUACUGGCGACCUUGAGUGCAGUUGAGGCAGGCGGAAUUCGUGGUGUAGCGGUGAAAUGCUUAGAUAUCACGAAGAACUCCGAUUGCGAAGGCAGCCUGCUAAGCUGCAACUGACAUUGAGGCUCGAAAGUGUGGGUAUCAAACAGGAUUAGAUACCCUGGUAGUCCACACGGUAAACGAUGAAUACUCGCUGUUUGCGAUAUACGGCAAGCGGCCAAGCGAAAGCGUUAAGUAUUCCACCUGGGGAGU